CAUGCGCGCGCGCGCGCAUGUGUGAUAUGUCGGGUGUACGCGCUGUGCGCGGGGAUGCUGUGUAUGGUACUUACAUUAAAGGGCUGAUAUCCAGCAAUUGAACUUGUGAUGAUAAUAGAAGUUAUGAUGACUUUUUGCGAUGGCGUGCCAGCUUUUGAUCCACAUUUUUCAAUUUUUCUAAGUACAUCUAAUC
RNAcentral lists this long non-coding RNA (193 nucleotides) under Pogonomyrmex barbatus (red harvester ant). RNAcentral describes it as "uncharacterized LOC105430503, transcript variant X1". The record is from RNAcentral. Lineage: Eukaryota; Metazoa; Arthropoda; Insecta; Hymenoptera; Formicidae.